Molecule: non-coding RNA, 585 nt
Organism: Linepithema humile (Argentine ant)
Lineage: Eukaryota; Metazoa; Arthropoda; Insecta; Hymenoptera; Formicidae
Source: RefSeq, a predicted model, not a curated record
AUACGGAGCGAAUGUUCUGCGAUCAAUUGCGUAUUUUACCUGUUAAAAAUGUAUAAUGAGUGCGAAUUGUGGUCGGGAGUGCCGAUUAAAGUGACGGGCGAUGAUCGGAGCGUAUUUGCCGCGGAUGUUUUGUAAUUUACAAUGAUUCGGCGUUCGCUUGGUGGCUGGACCAUGAAUGCGCGGUUUCAGUAAAACAUGUGUUGUGUGCGUGACGACUUCCGUAUGAUCGUCGAAUACUCGUUGCUCAUCUCGCUUGUUUGGAGUUGUGUAUAGUAUCGAAAAGGUCGUCGAAAACAAGAUAAUAAUCGGAUAAUACUGUGCGGACGCGAUAUGAAGUACAUUUUAACUCAAGUUUGUUUUAUGUAUCGUAGCAAGUUGAAAAUAUCAAUCCGUCUGUGAUUUUCGUGUUGUUUUGAAAGUGAAGUACGCAAGAAUUCUCAGUAUUCAUUGAUUCUUGAGAGAACCGGUGAUUGCUCCUUGUAGAGCAAUCUAAGGCGGAAUUUGCAGCGAGUAGAAUAAACUGCAAUACCCUAGCUGGUACAGCUCUCUAAAGGCGUACUUGGCUAGGGUACGACGAUCGGUGAG